Coffea arabica (coffee) is the source of this 6928-nucleotide long non-coding RNA. RefSeq lists it as uncharacterized. NCBI's taxonomy places the organism in Eukaryota, Viridiplantae, Streptophyta, Magnoliopsida, Gentianales, Rubiaceae. The record is from RefSeq and is a predicted model, not a curated record.
CCUCAUCAUCUCAUAUCACAAACCGCGGCACCGUAUACCAUUCUUUCUAUUUCACAUCUCAAACCACAUUUCCAUUUCUGCCGAAGUGCAAUCUUUUCCCUCUACACAUAUACUCAACCUCCUCCACCCACGAAUCAUCUUCACUUCACCCCACCUCGUGACCAUCGAAGGAAAGGAGAGUGAGAGGGACGUAGCUUCGGUAUCAUCGACAAGAAAAGAAAAGGAGGAAAACCGCGAGCUGAAGUAUUUUUCUGGUUUUGUCCGUGAGCUGAAGAAAAAAAAAAAGGAAGAAGUCGUGCGUGAGUUCUCUUCAUUUUCUCUUCAACCUUCAUCAGCUGCAACCAUCUUCCAAUCACGACACCACUGCAGCUGCAACAACCAUUACAGUUCAGACCAACCAAACCCAGAAGCCGUGCGCGAGCCGAGAGCCGAGAGAGGGGAAGUCUCCAGCACUUUGACGUGUGAGUGAGCCUUCAGUGAGGUAAAUUUUCUGGACUGAAAAUGGUUGAUCAGAGGUUGAAUAAGCAAGCUUUGGACUUCCAUGUGAGGUUUAUAUGUUCGGAUGAUGAAUUGAGGAAGAAAAGGAAAAUCUGUUUGGAGGAAAUGAUUUCUGCCGUGAGCUUGAGAUGAAAAAUGCAGUUGUAACCUGCUUAAUUUCGACAAUCUGAGCACCCAAGAGCAACCGAGGAGAUCUCCAAGAGGAACUCGGAGCGGACUCCUAAAACGCUUGUUUGAGACCUAUUGCGCUUGUUUGACUAGGUGAGUGUUCCAUAUAGGAAUAUGUAAUGGAAUAAGUCUAGGACAUGCUCAUUUCAUGAUUUCUAAGUGUUAAGUACUAUGUGUUAAAUAUUUACCAUACCAUGCUUGAAAAUGCUCGAAUAACAUGACUUGGUAUGCUAUAGUUGCAUACGUCGUUGGAGUGAAUCUCCUCGACUCUCACAUGGUAAAAAUGGGAUAAUGGCCAAUGAUGGCCUAUUAAUAUGGCAAAUGCCUGCCAAAUAACCGUCAUUACUCAACCGUCAACCGUUAACCGUUAACCGUUAACCGUUAACCGUUAACCGUGAACCGUUUACCAACCCAUAUGACUACUUGAUUACCUGACUAUUUGCUCACAUGAUUUCUAAUCGAUAUGAUUAUUCGAUAUCCGUGAAUUACAAGCUCUCAUGAACUCAACUUGUAUUGCUUACGUGCUUACGUGCUAAGUAUCCACUUGAUUACUUGAUUAUCAUGAAUCACAUGUUAUAUGAAGUUGUCCAUCAUUGUUAGGCGAGUGUGUACUUUACCUCCCUCGACCUAUUCAAAUGAUGAAUUUUACUUUUUGUCGUAUUACUUGGUUACCUGUGCACGUUGUAAGCUAUACGCUGAACUUGGGCCCUGCCUCGGUUACUGACCUACUCGAGCCAGGACUGGGCUCGGUCGGGUAGGUUGGAACCCUGGACAACCGUUUCGGUAUACUCGAGUAUUACCACUGGAGGGAUAAGGUGAUGGCUAGUCAACCGUGGAGAUCCGGGAGUUAUAAGGUGCAGAUGACCGACAAAGUUCCACUAGAACACCGUAUCCUUUCGUGCUUGCGUUACUAUUAAUAAUAAUAUUGCUCUCCUAGUUGGCAUUCGCGGGUAAGACUCCUCAUGAACAUUAACCUCUGAGAUGAAGCAAUCCUUGUAAUGUUCUUCUAGUCGGACGAGCCACUAUUUGUUUGACUGAAAAUUUAUGAAAAUAUAUUUAUAUGGCCAUUCAUUCCAAAAGUACUAGUUCUACAUGUGUUUUCAAAGUAACAAUUACCCGUGUAAUGAUUAUCACCUCAUGGUAACAUGCCAUUGUGUAACCUCGAAUCAUGCAUAUGAUAUGCACAACUUACUUGACCUAUUUGAACUGUUAGAGCGUCUUGGAACCUCACUGGGCUGUGUAGCUCAUCCCACGUUGUGGUUUUCUUUUACAGGUUCUGACAACUGAGGAAGACUUGAGAUCUACUUGUACUUUAAGCAUGUAGUUUGAAUUAAACAAUGUAGCUGUCUCAAAUGUGCUCGGAAGUAGUACUAGAUUGUUUACUUUCAUGAAUAUAAUUCGAGUUAAACAUUGUAGUUUUGCCUUAGGUUGCCACUUGAAGCUGGAAAAGUGUAAACCCUGGAUUUGUAUGUGGCUGGUAUAAAUUUGUUACUUGGCUUGUAUGGAUGUAUUUGAAUUGAUGUUUUGUUUCUUGGGUUGUAUUCGGGAAGGUAUUUUAAGAAUCGACGUUGGCUAUCUUAGGCACUGUUAUCUCUGAAGUUAAUGUGAUUUUAGAAACCGGCCUAUUUGGAGGGAAACGAUGUUGUAAUAGAUUAGGUUAUACUUCGGAAGGAUUUUUGCUAGCUUGCUUGCGUGAGUCCUGGCGAGAGUUAGGCAGACGGCCCGCCAACCCUCUGGUUCGCCUUAGGGGGAAGUGGGGUCGUCACAGGAGGUAUUAGAUUAGCUUUUGCUUUUGAGUGUCAGGGGUUUUUUCCUUUUGUUUUCUUUGGUAGCAAAUAGGAAGAGCCAGAAUCACGUAGGCUUAGGAGAGGAUUUCUUUGAUUCUUCCCUGUAGCCGUUUUUGACUUGCGGCUUCCAUUCUGUACAAUUAUUCCAUUAGCUUUUAGCCUUUUUCUGGACUUUGCUCGAAGACAAACGCAAGAACAAGAAAAGAAAUUCAGGGAUUUUCUCUUUCGUUACUUCAUUAAUUCAUCUUUCCCAAUUCCUUAGCAAUUAAUUCUUUGGCAAUUGCGUGGAUGAAAUCAAUCAACCCACGCAUGAUUGAUACGAUGAGGUGCGGCUAAAUCUCUACCCUACCCAAAGGUCGACGCGAAGGUGCGGUCCAUAAUAUCUGUGUGAUCUAAUCGAAUCUUCAUUAUUUCUUCCAUUUUAUUGCUAUUCGUGCGUUUCCUGAAUUAAUUGUUCGUGGAUAUUUUAUUAAUUGAAUAUCAACGGCCGGGUAUUUGAUUUAAUUUAAUAGCCUACUGUCACAUUGACUAAAUUGAAUCCGUAAUUGUUCAUUUAGUUGAUACCUAGUGGCGACCACCAUGUUGGGGAAACGUAAGAUCUAACUUAAAUAAACUCUCUUAGCGUGUUUAUUGGUUAGGGUUGGGUUCUUCUAGCUUUAAUGCAAUUGGGUAAUUAAAUUCCUACGGUCGUACCUAGGGUUGUUAUCUGGUUAGGGAAGCAGUCAAUGGUCGUACCUUAACUGUCGAAAAGGUAAGGAAGAAUUGGUUGUCAGAGCUUAUUGAUAACUAUAACCAAUCUAAUAACGAAUGGAUAAAAUAUCUGUGCAUCGAUGAUCAUUUAAUUGGACCGUGCCUGAACAGUUAAUCCUUUGGGUAGAACUUUUAUUAAUUGCUAUUUUUAGUAAAUUGUGCUUUGUGAAUUAGUUUUGAAUUUUGUUGGUUUUAUUUUUAUUUUUAUUUUCCUCCCAUCAAAAACCCCCCAUACUCUGAACUCUAGAAGAAACGAAUUAUUCCCAGUCCCUGUGGAUUCGACCCUACUCACUGCUAUAUACAAAAUUUGUAAUUUUCUUGAGUAGGUAUUUAUUAUUGCAUAGGUUCGACACCUGUCAAACUCCAUUCGUGAUGCUUUUCUGCCCAUACACCUCAUUACUGCUCUAAGCUGAAUGUUUUGCUAAAAACAGUAUGAGCAGGGGCAGGGGGAGCAAAGAUAUGUUUUCACUGGGGACAAAGCUAAUCUAAUGUAUAUUUAUGUGUUUAUACACAUUUUAUCGAUAACAAAAUAGAAAAGUUUAAUAAUGAAAUACUUGUAGGAAAAUGAAAUGUAUUAAUCAAUUGAGAUGCACUAAACAUGUAUGAUCUUCACAAAAAGUAAAAGUUAAAUAGCUACUUGUAGAAUCUGAUAUUGAUAAGUAAUUUUGUUCCAAGUAUUUUUUUUUUGUUUUAUUUUUGGUCUAUGAAUUGACUGGAGAAAACGAAGUACAUCAGAGAUAAAAGAAUAGAAAAGACAUUUUAUGCUGGGGGAGGUAAUAAAAGUUGCAUUACACCAUGGUCUAGUUUUCUUGAUUUGAAGUCAUUUGGCUGUUACUUGUGUCAAUCUUCAGAUUCUUAAGAGAAAGCAUAAAAGUAACUAACUCAGAAAACUGUCUUGUAUCAUCAUCUCAGAACAAUAGUUUGAUUCUCACCAUGUCCAUACUCUCUUCCCGCUUCUGUUACCCCAAUCCCCUCCCCUUCUGGAAAACAAAUUAAAUGACAUUGUAAAAGAAGGAAACAGUUUUAAUCCACCAAGCUCAUAACUUCUAAGAACUAUAAUGAGAAACUUCUUUUCGGGUUUUCUUUUGCAAUACAAACUCAGAUCAAAUGCAUUCGCUGGCUGCACUUUUAAUCACUGGCAGGGAUUUUUAUGUACUUUUUAAGUUAUCAAACAGCCAACAAAGUACGUGUAACAGGGGGAUGCUAAGUAGAUCAGUAAACCUUCAAAUAUUUUACGUCACAAAAGUAGGUGAACCUGAUAUAUUCAGCAAUUUAAAAUGCAAUUCUAGGAGAAACAAACAAAGGAAAGAUAUAAUUGGAACAGUGAAGAAAUGACCUUCCUAUUAAUCUACUUGUGUGUGCUGCUCUCCUUCAAGGACUUGGUAGGCGGGGCAAGUUAAAAUCUAGAACUUUUUGAGUGUUUUUUGAGGUAAGGGUCAUCAUUUGAUUGACCUCAAGCGAGAGAUGCAGGUUUAAUGUAUAGCAACUACCUUACACAAAAGUAAUCCCAAGGUAAUAAUCACCUUCUUAUAUUUUAAGUUCCCCAUAAUACUUUAAACCGUAGUAUGAUCUUCCCCAUUUACCCAUUCUUAAUUUGUGUCACUGGUAUUCUUUGACUACGUCAAUCUAUCUCAGUUAAAUCUUCUAUUCCUAAGAUAAUUUAGAGGGUUAAUGAUUCAACCUAAACCAGUAAACCUCUUAAAAUUUAAUAAAUUGGAUUAUUUUCAAUUCAAAAUGAUUUGUUAUAGAUUCUUGGAUCCUGUAUGGGGAUUAAGACCCUUCAGAUUAAGGCUUAGCUGACACUGUAAUUGAAUAGUCUUAGAAUCUUAGGUUAUUUUCAACAUUUUUGGUCCAGUUACUUUCCGUAGCUUUGUCAGCUAUAGCCAUCUUACAGAAUUAUCUGUAGUUGGUAGGUUUUUGCUGCUCUAGACAACAUUUUUCACAGUACAUUUUGAUGACAUUCUACCCGAUAUCAGCUAUUAUGUGAAGGCUUCAUGAUAGGCACUGAAAGCUUUUAGCUGUAACUAAUCUUGAAGAAACACUAAACUAACAAAGAGCAGCGAUCACAUGUCCUAGCUUUCACAAACGUUGGAUUCUGAGAAGGUUCAUACCUUUAUCUGAAACUCAAAUCUGUAUUUUGUUGACUUUUUUCCGUUUGUUUGUUUUUCUGUUUAAUUUUGCUUUGACCAUCAGGAGUUGAAAAGAAAGAGAUCCACUUGCAAUUCAGAAAAGACCUAGAUAGUGUACGAACUAAAACAUUGAAGCUCUUUAGUCUUUAUCAGAGCUACUAAAGUGAUUCAUUUGGAUUUGGGGUGGUGGUUUAAAACCAGAAAGGUGGUUUUGUCCAUUCAAGAGUUCAAAUAUACAUCGUCAUGAAUAAUGGCUUCGCUCAUCAUUUGCAAAGUAAUCUGCACAGAGUUGAUCACAUUCCUAGUUGAGGGGAGGACACAAAUACUCCUCUGUUCUGAAAGUGCAGGUUUACAGAAUGAAUGACCAAAUCAUUUCCUACUGAAACAACUACUAAGUAUUCAAAAGAAAGAAGUUGAAGUAAAAGAGAAAUGAUGCAAAUUUAACAUAACGUACUCUGUGAAUAUGUGAAAUAACAUGUGCAGAAUACAGGCACCGUAGUCACAAGUCUACUCUCUGGUACCAGCUACUCCACACUUUCCAUGGUGUUCUGCAGUAUUAAUUAACGCUGGGCGGCUGUUGAACCCAUAAAGAGUUUACAGCAUUGUUUUCCUUGGAAUCCAUGUAAGUUGCAUUGUAAUUGGCAGCGUUGGCACUAUUGGAGGAGUAAGUGGGGUGUGAUCCAAUGGGCAGUGCAGAUACGGUAUUGUCAUAAUUUUGAGGAGCAUCCUGGUGAAAAAGCGACAGGGCAUUGCUUGGAGUUGCCAUUCCCAAUUGCAAUUGCGAUAUAGAAUCACUCAAUCCAGUUGACACCUCUUGUUGCUGAUGUUGUCGAUAGAAAGCCAAUUGUGCAUGAAUAGCUUGAAGUUCCUCCUCGGCUAGUUGAAUUUGGUACCACAAUUGUUGUAUGAUUCCUAAACAUCCGUGGACAGGAUACUUAUCGCGUAUAUUUGCUUGAUAGAUGAUGGACUUCAUGGCAACCAACUUCUGGCUGGGGUCUAGCUGUCUCAGAACCUUCAAGAUGUUGCUCACGCCAAAAAGCUUGUGAGCAUUCUGGAACAUCUUAGGCUGAUCAGCCGGGAAGUAUGGUGCGAGUGGACAGUCAGCCGUGCACCUCCUCCUCUGAUACUUGCAGGCAGCGCAGGCUUGGCUGGUGCCACCUUUGAGGGUCAUCUCAAAGAAAUGUGUGACAAAAAUAAAAGAGUAUUCAUGUAAAAAAUAUUGGAGGUGGACUGAGCCAAAAGAGAUGGCAAAAAAAAAAAAGGAAAGGGAUUGCUCUACUUAGAUAAGAUAAGGAGUGUUAGUGCUGGUGUUCAAAGGAAGGAAGACAGAAGCCAAAUGGCAACAUUGAUCUCAACUGAACUAGUCUGCUGAUAUAUGCGGAUUUUGCUGCAAGACUUGGUAAGAUAACAGAUUGAGAGAGGGGGAACCGAAAAUGCUGGGGAUGUUUCUUUCAACUGCAUGACCGUUAGGGGAAAACGUUUUGUUAUGUAGUUUUGAGUACAUUCCUAAUUCUGAGGAGACUCCUAAUACUUUGGGCCACAGCUAUAUCACAGUAGACAGACGCUUCUAUUAUUAUUAUCUCAGCUUGCACCACA